AGAAAGAUCAAGUCAGAUUAGCACGGAGACAUUCAAUAGAAGGGCGACACACAGUUGGGAGACAGAGGAUGAGAUGAAGAGAUAUUGUGAAAAGAGACAUGAAGAUACUAAACCUACAUGUAAGAGAUGAAGAUGCCCAGGAUAGAGUAUAGAGAAAGAUCGGGUUAAGUUAGCAUGAAGACAUUCAAUAGAAGGACGACACACAGUUGGGAGACAGAGGAU
Molecule: non-coding RNA, 222 nt
Organism: Paramuricea clavata
Lineage: Eukaryota; Metazoa; Cnidaria; Anthozoa; Malacalcyonacea; Plexauridae
Source: the annotation of a GenBank genome assembly